GUGCAAAAACUUGAUUUCCUUUAAUUGGGCCACAUUCCGAAUUCAGAAAGCCGGCAAAACUAGAUGGCCCAAUAGGAAAGAGCCUGCUGACCUGACGAUACUGAAUUCAAAGCGAUCAACUAUCCUGGCUUAUGGCUUGGUUUUCUCCUUUCCUUAUCCACAAAAUCUGUCUCUAUGGAGGAGAAAACAGACAUAUCAUGAUUUAUGAAAGUUAUGGGAGAAACACCAGCAGAAACAGAGCUAGAAUACAACCGAAUAAAAUGUGGUCAAAUCAGAAACUGAUGCAGCACUCACCCCAGUUGCUUCAACCCCCAGCACUACCUCCUCCACAAACUCAAACCAUAAGUAUCAAGCAAUGCUGUAAAGUCUCGCGCAGAGAACUUGCAAUUUGCACCAACUCAUCUUUGCUAUUACUCUUAGGCUCACAGACAGUGGAGCCAUUGCACCAUUCAAGAGCAAGAGCGGAGGAAAUUGAGGAUACAAGUAAAGAAACUGAGCAGCUUGUGGAAAGUGAGGAAAAUGAAGUUCCUAGGAACUCUGAACUUGUGGAAAGUGAGGUUGUUCCUCCAAGCACCGAACAACCAGUGGAAAGUGAGGAUGAUCCUCAAAAAACUGAACAACUUGCCCCAGAAGACGAUUCAAAGAAAACUGCAGAUCCCUGUGGAGAACAAAAUCCAACCCAGAGGGCAUUUCUUGAAGUGUCAAUUGAUGGCGUGCCUCUUGGUAGAAUUGUGAUCGGGCUAUACAGUGAUAGUGUUCCAUUUGGUACAGCCCGAUUCAGUGAUCUUGUCAGUGGUGCAGCGGGCAUUAGUUAUAGAAGAAAAGAAUUUGUUAAGAUCACGCCAAACUAUGUCCAACAUAGCGGAGUGAGAUCAUAUGGUGUUGAUGCUGAGCUUGCGAGGAAGGCUGGAAGCAAUUUGGCUGCUGACAGACUCACAGAUGAAUGGGAAAAGCAGUAUGCGGCUUGUCCAGGGACAAAGAAUUUGGCCAAAAGCAUUGGCAUUGUAGUGAGGGAUCCUUCAAAACCACCACCCAAGUUGAAAUUGAUUGCACGCAAAGGGAAGCUAGAGAUUGAUCAAGAACAGGUGGGAGUGGAUCCUAAUGGGACAGAAUUUGUCAUUGCUAUUAAAGACUCGCCUGAACUAGAUGCAUCAACAUUAGUGAUUGGAAGAGUAUUGGAAGGAAUGGACGUUGUUGAGAAGAUUGGCCAAGUGAAGACAGUACAGGAGAAUACCAGUUCUCCCUAUUUCAGGGUAGCAAAGUUGAUAGGAGACAAAAGGGCUGUUGUAGCAGAGAGAGGCUUUAAUCGACCAUAUUCAAAGGUGUUGAUUACCAAUUGUGGGUUGAUAAAAUGAAUGAAGCCGCUAUAGAUCACUUAUUUCCAUUAUGUAAUAGAGGACAAGAUUGUGCGGGGAAAUUCUUUCACAUUGAUGAUUCUCAGUAAAUUUUUGUGCUGUCAUAAAUUGUGCUGUCAUAAAUUGGAGUUAUGCAUACAUGGCCAGUACAGCUGCAAUCGCAACAAGCUGAAAAUAAUGAAAAGCUAUUACACUCAUCCUUAAAAGGAAAUCUUUAAAUUCAAGUAGGCAAGAAAAACUAGAAAAGCUAAGUAUGCAUACGUGAGUGUGCUUUCCUGAUUAGCUCUGCAAUCUCACAAUCAUUUGACAUGCUGCAAAGUCAACACUAUCCCAGGCACUAGCUCGCAUGAGUAUGCUUCGUUCUUUUUACAGGUGGGGAACUGAAAAGCUUUCUGAUUGAAGCAAUUGGAUCAUCCACCUAUAUCAAAGAGAGGGCAUAAGAAUGCAUUUGACACAUAUACAUUUACAAAGGAGGAAGCCAAGUAGACAGAGAAAAUUAAAUAGGCUAAGACUGCGGCUACAAGACAAAGAAUUCACCCAACAAGCAUUUCAGUUUGGAACCGUAUCUCAAAUGGGUUUAGGAAGAUGGUGGAUUUUCAGCAAAGGACUCCGAGAAUUCUUUAUGGCGUUGUAAAGCAGACAGAGUUUGUUUCCAUCCAGGAGUAGAAUUACCAAUGGAUGCAAUCCACGGACAAAAAAGUUUGUGCUGCCUGAUCGGAUCGAACUCCAUCGAGUUGUGCAGUGAUUCUUGUUCUGGAUUCCUUCCUGUAGAACAGCAGAUAAAAAGCUUACCAAUAUUUUUCAGACUAAGAACUAACCUCUGAACCCUUUAGAAGUAGACCAGAUAAAAUAUCAGUAACUACUUUUUUUACAUCAACUGCUAGACAGUCAAAAUAACAUGAAAGUAGGAAAUGGGUAAGAACCUUUACAGUGUAUUAUAUAUGUUAACAUACCAGGACACAUAUCAUGCUUCACAUAUAGUAUGAUGUUAUAUGCA
This is a non-coding RNA of Coffea arabica (coffee), 2352 nucleotides long. The record is from RefSeq and is a predicted model, not a curated record. NCBI's taxonomy places the organism in Eukaryota, Viridiplantae, Streptophyta, Magnoliopsida, Gentianales, Rubiaceae.